CGGGACGGGUGAGUAACGCGUGGAUAACCUGCCUCACACUGGGGGAUAACAGUUAGAAAUGGCUGCUAAUACCGCAUAAGCGCACAGUACCGCAUGGUACGGUGUGAAAAACCCAGGUGGUGUGAGAUGGAUCCGCGUCUGAUUAGCCAGUUGGCGGGGUAACGGCCCACCAAAGCGACGAUCAGUAGGCGACCUGAGAGGGUGACCGGCCACAUUGGGACUGAGACACGGCCCAA
Molecule: ribosomal RNA, 236 nt
Filed under: uncultured bacterium
Lineage: Bacteria
Description: partial 16S ribosomal RNA
Rfam family: Bacterial small subunit ribosomal RNA
Source: RNAcentral